GAGAGUAAACAGUGCGUGAAACCGCUCAGAGGUAAACGGGUGGAGUUGAACUGCGAACCCUGAGAAUUCAACUGGUGAGUGUGGUAUGAGCUUGGCAUAAUGGUUGGCUCUACGGGUCUGCUUAGCUGCAGGUCUUCACCUCUUGGUGGAGAUGCGCGAUACACUUGUCAAGUGGUGCGCGCUCGUUGAGUUACUCGGACAUACUCGCCAGUGCACUUUCUCGGGGUGUUCACCACGACCGGCGCCGCUACUUGUCUAAUAUGGUUAAACCGGUCUUGCUUGGUCCUUGUGGCUUUGCUUGAUCGGGAUGGCAGGUAACUCGUUAACUUGUGUGUUGGCCUUGGUUGACAUGCGCUUGGUUUUCGAGUGUAAUCAGCUGACUGUAUUGGUGCUAUGUAGUGCGUCGGAGACGGCGGCUUGUGGUGUGUGCCUGCGUGCCUAUUUGCUGACGGAACCGGGUUUGGUUAUUAUGUUGCCUGUUCUGCAGGCCUGGUGAUGGCCCGGUUUCGCUUGGUGGAUAGGAGCGUGUGUGACACUUAUCAGGGCCUAUAGUCUGUGGUGUUGUGGUAGACUAUCCACCUGACCCGU
This 588-nucleotide ribosomal RNA is filed under the name Notocotylidae gen. sp. 6 WSY. RNAcentral's name for it is "partial large subunit ribosomal RNA". Lineage: Eukaryota; Metazoa; Platyhelminthes; Trematoda; Plagiorchiida; Notocotylidae. The record is from RNAcentral.